RNAcentral lists this ribosomal RNA (452 nucleotides) under uncultured bacterium. RNAcentral's name for it is "bacterial SSU rRNA". It matches the Rfam family "Bacterial small subunit ribosomal RNA", at positions 29 to 526 of the family's 1533-position model. The record is from RNAcentral.
AACGAACGCUGGCGGCAGGCCUAACACAUGCAAGUCGAACGCUCCAGCAAUGGAGAGUGGCAGACGGGUGAGUAACGCGUGGGAACCUUCCCUUUGGUUCGGAAUAGCUCAGGGAAACUUGAGGUAAUACCGGAUAAGCCCUUACGGGGAAAGAUUUAUCGCCGAAGGAUGGGCCCGCGUCGGAUUAGCUAGUUGGUGGGGUAACGGCCCACCAAGGCGACGAUCCGUAGCUGGUCUGAGAGGAUGAUCAGCCACACUGGGACUGAGACACGGCCCAGACUCCUACGGGAGGCAGCAGUGGGGAAUAUUGGACAAUGGGCGCAAGCCUGAUCCAGCCAUGCCGCGUGAGUGACGAAGGCCUUAGGGUUGUAAAGCUCUUUUGGCGGGGAAGAUAAUGACGGUACCCGCAGAAUAAGCUCCGGCUAACUUCGUGCCAGCCGCCGCAGUAACAC